RNAcentral lists this long non-coding RNA (3630 nucleotides) under Malus domestica (apple). Its description in RNAcentral is "long non-coding RNA (MDOM_LNC011495)". The record is from RNAcentral. Lineage: Eukaryota; Viridiplantae; Streptophyta; Magnoliopsida; Rosales; Rosaceae.
GUUCCCAUUCAAUAUCCACAGUCAAAUCAAACUUCUGUCAAAUUAAUUUCUGGGUAGAAUUUAAGGAAAACUAAUGAAAAGUGCUUGAAAACUUUGAGUUUUAAUGAUAAGGACAAAAUAAAGGGUAAAGUGAAUAGUACCAGGAUUGACUUUUUAGUGUAAAAAUGUGGUUUUUCGUUAAAGUGAACAGUACCGGGUGCUUUUCGUUAAAGUUCCCUAUAAUCUAUUGUUAAUUUUCUUAGGAAUAAUGUCACUAAUUACGGAUAUAAUCUGAGCUUUGGUUGAAAAUCCCAAUAGAACAUAUCUUCUGUAAAAGUUUUAACAAAUCCUGAAAAUAAUGAAAGAAAUUUGGGGAGGAUUUGAUGGUUAUAUAUGAAAGGGAAAGUGAACCCACAAAGAGGGGAAAGGAAACCCAAGAGUAAAAUUAAUAAUAAGUGGGUGGGUUCAUCGGAAAGAGAGGGAAGAGUAAAAGAGGCUUUGCCGGCGGUGAAGAGAAGCGUCGUCGGCGACUAUGGGAUGGUGUGGUUUUGUGAGUGACCAUCGAGAAUGCGUUGUUUUUUUUAAUAAUAAAUUUUUACUUUUCUUUUUAAUUCAUUCUUGAAAGAUUAACGCUGUUAAAUUUGAGGUUAAAGUUCAGGACAGAUGUCAAAAUGGUAGAAAGGAAACACAUAAGAGACACCAAUUUAGAAACACCAGACCCGUGGCUAGAAAGGAGUUCUAUUUUAUUUUUCAAGAGACUGCUAUAUGUGCUCAUUGUAAAUGCCUUUCUAAGAGCAAACACCUCAAUUAAUUUGAUAAGAACAAAAGCCUGAAAUGAGUUCUAUUUUAUUCUUCUAAGAGACUGCUAUAUAUGCUCAUUGUAAAUGCCUUUCCAAGAGCAAACACCUCAAUUAAUUUGAUAAGAACAAAAAUUAAAUUUGAAAACCCAAGUGAGUCAUGACAAUUGGUGGAUAUGAAUUACCUUUUGGGACAUUGAAUGUAAACCUACAAUUUAAAAGAAAGUGUUCUUCGUUCUUCGUUCUUCGUUCAUCGUUCUUCCAAGAUCAAGCCCCGACGGCCCUUGGAUCAACAAUCAUCCACCAAUUCAAGAUCAAGCCCCUACGGCCCUUGAAGAAAGUGUUCAUCAUUCAUCAUCCGUUCAUCCUAAGAACAAGCCCCAACGGCCCUUUGGAUCAACAACGUCGACAAAUCCACAUAUCCAACCGUCCUUCAAGAUCAAAGCCCAAAAGCCCUUGAAGAUCCGUUCACCACUGUUCUUCAAGAUCAAGCCCAAAAGCCCCUUAAAGAUUCGUUCAUCACCCAAAAAGCCCUUGAAGAUCCGUUCAUCACUGUUCUUCAAGAUCAAGCCCAAAAGCCCUUGAAGAUCCGUUCAUCACCGUUAUUCAAGAUCAAGGCUCAACGGCCCUUGAAGAAACGCUCAUCCUCAUGAUCAAGCCCCAACGGCUCCUUGAAGAUCCGCUCAAAUCCACUUUCAAGAUCAAGCCCACGGCCCUUGAAGAACGUUCAUCCUUAGAUCAAGCCCAACGGCCCUCAAUCGCACAUCCACAAAUCAACACCUUAUGGAGAGCGAAUCAGAGGAUCAAAUUUGAGAGAGAUUGUAACCCAAAAUCAUCAAAUACAAAUAUUAUUUUGUGCAUGUUGUUCUUGUCGCUUUCGUUUCAGGAAAUUUUCGUGUUCACAGAGUUCUAUUUUAUUCUUCUAAGAGACUGCUAUAUAUGCUCAUUGUAAAUGCCUUUCUAAGAGCAAACACCUCAAUUAAUUUGAUAAGAACAAAAAUUAAAUUUGAAAACCCAAGUGAGUCAUGACAAUUGGUGGAUAUGAAUUAUCUUUUGGGACAUUGAAUGUAAACCUACAAUUUAAAAAAAUCGUCAGAUAUAUUUCUAACUUUUUUUUUUCUUUAACCUUUAUCGAACCACAAACUUUCCUAAUUGGCAAAAGUUAUCCAAAUGAAGCCCGCAAUAAAUUCUAUUUUUUUCAAGAAACCUCUGUGCUCUCAUUGUCCAUGCCUUUUAUGCAUGUUUUAUUUGUUUUAUACCUCUGUUUUAUUUGCAUGUUUUAUGACAAUUGGAUUGGGAAACUAUGACGAAUUUUUGGGACAUUGAAUGUAAACAUGUAAUUUAAAAAAACACUAAGCCAGAUAUUAUUGAACAAUUUUUUAUUCAAUUUUACAGCUUCACCAACUUUCCUAAUUGACAAAAGUUUAUACAAAUGUGGGCCCCGCAAUAAACUCUUAUUUUUGCAAGGUCCUUCGUUGCUAUAAAUUUAGACCUACCCCUUCUCUUCCAUACAUCUGUGUUCAAUUUCUCUCCUCUUCCUUGUACUUUUGCUGCUUAUAUUCUCUUCAUGAAGUACUCUCUCCCUUUCCUUCUCUCUCUCUAGAUCUCUUGUCUAAAAUGUCUUUUCUAUGUGAGAAAACUAUAUCAUCAGCAGACAACUCUGUCGAGUUUAGAUUAAGGACUGGGAGAUCAAGUGCACAAAUGGAAGCUAGAGUUGUUGAGGGCUCUAGUUCUAAUGACCAAAGUCAUGAGUUGCAAGUCAAUCUUCACAAAGCAUUGUACAAUUAAAUUCUCCAAGUAAGUCACUGUGACUCUUUCUUCUAGCUAAUUAAAAACCCUGCUUGAGUUUGGUAUGUACAAAUUAUAUAUAUGUAUAAGAUGAGUUUUAGAGGAUCUAUUUUAUACCUUCAAAUGCUAAUAAUUAAACCAGAAUUUGAACAUGCAUGCUAGGUGGCUUGUCCGCUCAUCUGAUCUUUUUAUCGGUACAUAUAGUGACCAUAUAAUUGACUUUGAUAUACUUAUAUAUAGAGAAGUGUAGAAAUGUUCUCAUGACUCUCACAUAACUUUCUUUGCCUUUCAUGUAACAGGAAGGAAAGAAAGCCAGCACUACUUUGGAUGGGAUAAAUAUUGUCGACUCAUUCAUGCUUCUGGAAGAUCUCCCUCUAGAUGGUCUCGACAUUGAGAACGUAAAGCACUUUUCUGUAUAGACAGUGAUCUAUAUCAUGACAGGCAUAUUUUUUCUCCAGCUGAUUGUACUUGUUAACUGCAAGAAUUCUAUGAGUAGUUCUCUUUUUCUGAAAAUAUUGAAACCGGUUUGUAUGAAUGGGUUGUAUGUAUGAGAUGUUAUCCUCACCAUAGCUUGUCAUUCACCUUACAUCAACCACAUCAACCCUUCUCCAUAGCUUGUCAUUCACCAAUCACUUUCCAUAGCUUGUCAUUCACCUUACAUCAACCAUUCUUCAUAGCUUGUCAUUUACCAAUCACUUCCAUAGCUUGUCAUUCACCUUACAUCAACCUUUCUUAGUUACUUGUAAAAGCUUCUUUACUUGUAAUUUGGUUUUUGUUUUUCCACUUGUUAGGGCAGAUUUUAGGGAUUGUGUUUGUGUAGUUAUCCUACAAUCUAUUGUAGCUUUCUUUUGGCUCUCAAUAAGAGUUGCCUUCACUCUCUUGUAAUCUUCAUAAUGAAAUAUACAACAAAUAUUGAAACCAAAACUCAACAUGGUAUCAGAGUAGGAACCAUAGGGUGACUCUGUUCAUUUUUUUUACUUUUUCAUUUUCUCAUCAUCGAUAGAGAUGGUAGAAGAAAAUGUGUCUAGUGCCGACAAUGCAUCAUCCUCUUCCCCAAACUUAACCC